GGGGGCGAACUGGCUUCGACGGGGGUAGUGAAGCUUAGGCUGCAUACCGAGGUUCCGCCUGCUCGUAAAACAGGUGGGAUAAACAUAGACGCAGACGACUAUGCUUACGCCCUGGCCGCAUAAUUGACGGCCAGCGUCCCUUUGGUCCUUGCCUGUGGGACCAAGUGGGGCGUCGGUUAGCAGGCUAGCCAAUCCGACUUACCUGUGAGUCGGGGCGGCGAAAGGCUUCACAGGUUAGUCCUUUGGCGACCUGGCCCGAUAGGGACCCAAAGGGCGAACGACUUGUAUCGGGCUAAGUAUGUAGACGCCUAAGCGGAAUGCUUCCGGACGCGGGUUCGAUUCCCGCCGCCUCCACCA
Molecule: transfer-messenger RNA, 357 nt
Filed under: Desulfobacterales bacterium
Lineage: Bacteria; Pseudomonadati; Thermodesulfobacteriota; Desulfobacteria; Desulfobacterales
Rfam family: transfer-messenger RNA
About the family: Bacterial tmRNA, also known as 10Sa RNA or SsrA, is named for its dual tRNA and mRNA-like properties. Its role is to liberate the mRNA from a stalled ribosome.
Source: RNAcentral